UUGAACGCUGGCGGAAUGCUUUACACAUGCAAGUCGAGCGGCAGCGCGGGGCAACCUGGCGGCGAGCGGCGAACGGGUGAGUAAUGUAUCGGAACGUACCCCGUCGUGGGGGAUAACACAGCGAAAGCUGUGCUAAUACCGCAUACGAUCUACGGAUGAAAGCGGGGGACUCGCAAGAGCCUCGCGCGGACGGAGCGGCCGAUGGCAGAUUAGGUAGUUGGUGGGAUAAAAGCUUACCAAGCCGACGAUCUGUAGCUGGUCUGAGAGGACGACCAGCCACACUGGGACUGAGACACGGCCCAGACUCCUACGGGAGGCAGCAGUGGGGAAUUUUGGACAAUGGGCGAAAGCCUGAUCCAGCCAUGCCGCGUGCAGGAUGAAGGCCUUCGGGUUGUAAACUGCUUUUGUACGGAACGAAAAGACUCCUUCUAAUAAAGGGGGUCCAUGAUGGUACCGUAAGAAUAAGCACCGGCUAACUACGU
RNAcentral lists this ribosomal RNA (482 nucleotides) under uncultured bacterium. RNAcentral's name for it is "bacterial SSU rRNA". It matches the Rfam family "Bacterial small subunit ribosomal RNA", at positions 30 to 506 of the family's 1533-position model. The record is from RNAcentral.